Molecule: ribosomal RNA, 667 nt
Filed under: uncultured bacterium
Lineage: Bacteria
Description: bacterial SSU rRNA
Rfam family: Bacterial small subunit ribosomal RNA
Source: RNAcentral
AGAGUUUGAUCAUGGCUCAGAACGAACGCUGGCGGCAGGCUUAACACAUGCAAGUCGAGCGCCCCGCAAGGGGAGCGGCAGACGGGUGAGUAACGCGUGGGAAUCUACCGUGCCCUACGGAAUAGCUCCGGGAAACUGGAAUUAAUACCGUAUACGCCCUACGGGGGAAAGAUUUAUCGGGGUAUGAUGAGCCCGCGUUGGAUUAGCUAGUUGGUGGGGUAAAGGCCUACCAAGGCGACGAUCCAUAGCUGGUCUGAGAGGAUGAUCAGCCACAUUGGGACUGAGACACGGCCCAAACUCCUACGGGAGGCAGCAGUGGGGAAUAUUGGACAAUGGGCGCAAGCCUGAUCCAGCCAUGCCGCGUGAGUGAUGAAGGUCUUAGGAUUGUAAAGCUCUUUCACCGGUGAAGAUAAUGACGGUAACCGGAGAAGAAGCCCCGGCUAACUUCGUGCCAGCAGCCGCGGUAAUACGAAGGGGGCUAGCGUUGUUCGGAAUUACUGGGCGUAAAGCGCACGUAGGCGGAUAUUUAAGUCAGGGGUGAAAUCCCAGAGCUCAACUCUGGAACUGCCUUUGAUACUGGGUAUCUUGAGUAUGGAAGAGGUGAGUGGAAUUCCGAGUGUAGAGGUGAAAUUCGUAGAUAUUCGGAGGAACACCAGUGGCGAAGGCG